This 468-nucleotide ribosomal RNA is filed under the name uncultured bacterium. Its description in RNAcentral is "partial 16S ribosomal RNA". It matches the Rfam family "Bacterial small subunit ribosomal RNA", at positions 28 to 507 of the family's 1533-position model. The record is from RNAcentral.
GACGAACGCUGGCGGCGUGCUUAACACAUGCAAGUCGAACGGAAAGGCACUGAUUUUGUGGGGUGAUCGAGUGGCGAACGGGUGAGUAACACGUGAGUAACCGGACCUUGACUUUGGGAUAACUUAAGGAAACUGGGGCUAAUACCGGAUAGGAGAUCCUGCUGCAGGGUGGGGGGUGGAAAGUUUCGGCGGUUGGGGAUGGACUCGCGGCUGAUCAGUUUGUUGGUGGGGUAGUGGCAUACCAAGGAAUUGACGGGUAGCCGGCCGGAGAGGGUGGCCGGCCUCAUUGGGCCUAAGAUACGCCCCAGUCUCCUACGGUAGGCAGCGGUGGGAAGUAUUACACAAUGAUCGGAAGCCUGAUGCAGCGGCGCCGCGUGCGGGAUGACCGCCUUCUGGUUGUAAACCGCUUUCGCCUGUUACGACGCUUGUGUGACGGUAAUGGGUAAAUAAGCACCGGCUAACUACGUG